This 352-nucleotide long non-coding RNA is filed under the name Rhopalosiphum maidis (corn leaf aphid). RNAcentral's name for it is "uncharacterized LOC113549816, transcript variant X1". The record is from RNAcentral. Lineage: Eukaryota; Metazoa; Arthropoda; Insecta; Hemiptera; Aphididae.
CAAAAAUAAAAUCACUUUGUUCACAUAACUAAAUUGAUUUGCGCUCGCAUAGUCAAGUAUUGAUUGUCCAAAUACGACUUUUCCAACUGUAUUAUUUGUUGUUUGGUGAAGAUUGGUGGCUUUCGAUUCUUACGAAAACUUUGAACAACAUUGUUGGCAGUGCUUUGUAACCAUGGGGGACAUAAAAUGUCUGCAAAAAGAAGAAUCGCAUCAAUUAACCAACAAGAAAAAUUCCUAAAUUUGAAAAAGCUUCAGAUAUUGAGAUUAUGGUAUCAAUUAAACAGUUUUUAGCAGGAUCUAAAUUUAGGGAGGUAACAAAAAAUAUCCCCACAUUCGAGGUGAUACAUCUACU